Molecule: ribosomal RNA, 467 nt
Filed under: uncultured bacterium
Lineage: Bacteria
Description: partial 16S ribosomal RNA
Rfam family: Bacterial small subunit ribosomal RNA
Source: RNAcentral
GAUGAACGCUGACAGAAUGCUUAACACAUGCAAGUCAACUUGAAUUUGGGUUUUUAACUUAGGUUUGGGUGGCGGACGGGUGAGUAACGCGUAAAGAACUUGCCUCACAGCUAGGGACAACAUUUGGAAACGAAUGCUAAUACCUAAUAUUAUGAUAAUAGGGCAUCCUAUAAUUAUGAAAGCUAUAAGCGCUGUGAGAGAGCUUUGCGUCCCAUUAGCUAGUUGGAGAGGUAACGGCUCACCAAGGCGAUGAUGGGUAGCCGGCCUGAGAGGGUGAUCGGCCACAAGGGGACUGAGACACGGCCCUUACUCCUACGGGAGGCAGCAGUGGGGAAUAUUGGACAAUGGACCGAGAGUCUGAUCCAGCAAUUCUGAGUGCACGAUGAAGUUUUUCGGAAUGUAAAGUGCUUUCAGUUGGGAAGAAACAAAUGACGGUACCAACAGAAGAAGUGACGGCUAAAUACGUG